AGAGUUUGAUCCUGGCUCAGAUUGAACGCUGGCGGCAGGCCUAACACAUGCAAGUCGAGCGGUAGAGAGAAGCUUGCUUCUCUUGAGAGCGGCGGACGGGUGAGUAAUGCCUAGGAAUCUGCCUGGUAGUGGGGGAUAACGUUCGGAAACGGACGCUAAUACCGCAUACGUCCUACGGGAGAAAGCAGGGGACCUUCGGGCCUUGCGCUAUCAGAUGAGCCUAGGUCGGAUUAGCUAGUUGGUGAGGUAAUGGCUCACCAAGGCGACGAUCCGUAACUGGUCUGAGAGGAUGAUCAGUCACACUGGAACUGAGACACGGUCCAGACUCCUACGGGAGGCAGCAGUGGGGAAUUUUGCGCAAUGGGGGAAACCCUGACGCAGCAACGCCGCGUGGGUGAUGAAGGCCUUCGGGUCGUAAAGCUCUGUCUGGAGGGAAGAAAUGAUUGGGAGCUAAUACCUCUUGAUCUUGACGGUACCUCUGAAGGAAGCGCCGGCUAACUCCGUGCCAGCAGCCGCGGUAAUACGGAGGGUGCAAGCGUUGUUCGGAAUUAUUGGGCGUAAAGCGCGUGUAGGCGGUCUUUUAAGUCUGAUGUGAAAGCCCCGGGCUCAACCUGGGAAGUGCAUUGGAAACUGGGAGGCUUGAGUACGGGAGAGGAGAGUGGAAUUCCUAGUGUAGGAGUGAAAUCCGUAGAUAUUAGGAGGAACACCGGUGGCGAAGGCGGCUACCUGGACCGAUAUUGACGCUGAGACGCGAAAGCGUGGGUAGCAAACAGGAUUAGAUACCCUGGUAGUCCAC
Molecule: ribosomal RNA, 796 nt
Filed under: uncultured bacterium
Lineage: Bacteria
Description: bacterial SSU rRNA
Rfam family: Bacterial small subunit ribosomal RNA
Source: RNAcentral